RNAcentral lists this long non-coding RNA (1062 nucleotides) under Calidris pugnax (ruff). RNAcentral describes it as "lncRNA (ENSCPUG00000000545.1)". Lineage: Eukaryota; Metazoa; Chordata; Aves; Charadriiformes; Scolopacidae. The record is from RNAcentral.
UUUAAUUAGCGGAGGAACCUCAUUAAUAAAUGGGGUAAAGGUCGGGAUGGGGCGUGGGACGAAGUGGGUUCUUUUUUACUUGGGGGGGAUUUUUGGGGUGAAUUUGGGGGUUUUUGGGUCCUUUUUGGGGGGAUCCCUAAAUCCUUGGUAUUUUCUGGGAUUAUCCUUGGGAUAAUCCCAGAAAUGAAGACACUUUUUCCAUCUUAAUUAGUGGAGGAACCUCAUUAAUAAAGGGGGUAAAGGCCCGAUGGAGAAUGGGAAAAAAUGGGGUUUAUUUUUCCAGGGGGGAUUUUUGGGGUAAAUUUGGGGGCUUUUGGGGUCUUUUUUUUUUGGAUCUCCCCAAAUCCUGAGGGAUCCCCAAAUCCUUGGGAUAAUCCCAGAAAUUAAGACACUUUUUCCAUCUUAAUUAGCGGAGGAACCUCAUUAAUUAAGGGGAUAAAGGUCGGGAUGGGGUGAGGGACAAAGUGGGUUCUUUUUUCCAGGGGGGAUUUUUGGGGUGAAUUUGGGGCUUUUUGGGUUUUUUUUGGGGGGGAUCCCUAAAUCCUUGGUAUUUUCUGGGAUUAUCCUUGGGAUAAUCCCAGAAAUGAAGACACUUUUUCCAUCUUAAUUAGUGGAGGAACCUCAUUAAUAAAGGGGGUAAAGGCCCGAUGGAGAAUGGGAAAAAAUGGGGUUUAUUUUUCCAGGGGGGAUUUUUGGGGUAAAUUUGGGGGCUUUUGGGGUCUUUUUUUUUUGGAUCUCCCCAAAUCCUGAGGGAUCCCCAAAUCCUUGGGAUAAUCCCAGAAAUUAAGACACUUUUUCCAUCUUAAUUAAUGGUUCAGCCCAAUUAAUAAAAGGGGUAAAGGUCGGGAUGGGACAUGGGACAAAGUGGGUUCUUUUCUCCAGGGGGGAUUUUUGGGGUGAAUUUGGGGCUUUUUGGGUAUUUUUUUGGGGGGAUCUCUAAAUCCUUGGUAUUUUCCGGGAUUAUCCUUGGGAUAAUCCCAGAAAUGAAGAUACUUUUCCCAUCUUAAUUAGUGGAUCAGCCUGAUUAAUAAAGGGGGUAAAGGGCGGGAUGGGACGAGGGAC